This 1371-nucleotide ribosomal RNA is filed under the name uncultured bacterium. RNAcentral's name for it is "bacterial SSU rRNA". It matches the Rfam family "Bacterial small subunit ribosomal RNA". The record is from RNAcentral.
AGAGUUUGAUCCUGGCUCAGGACGAACGCUGGCGGCGCGCCUAACACAUGCAAGUCGAACGAGAGAGAGGGAGCUUGCUUCCUUGAUCGAGUGGCGAACGGGUGAGUAACGCGUGAGGAACCUGCCUCAAAGAGGGGGACAACAGUUGGAAACGACUGCUAAUACCGCAUAAGCCCACGACCCGGCAUCGGGAAGAGGGAAAAGGAGCAAUCCGCUUUGAGAUGGCCUCGCGUCCGAUUAGCUAGUUGGUGAGGUAACGGCCCACCAAGGCAACGAUCGGUAGCCGGACUGAGAGGUUGAACGGCCACAUUGGGACUGAGACACGGCCCAGACUCCUACGGGAGGCAGCAGUGGGGAAUAUUGCACAAUGGGGGAAACCCUGAUGCAGCGACGCCGCGUGGAGGAAGAAGGUCUUCGGAUUGUAAACUCCUGUUGUUGGGGAAGAUAAUGACGGUACUCAACAAGGAAGUGACGGCUAACUACGUGCCAGCAGCCGCGGUAAAACGUAGGUCACAAGCGUUGUCCGGAAUUACUGGGUGUAAAGGGAGCGCAGGCGGGCGAUCAAGUUGGAAGUGAAAUCCAUGGGCUCAACCCAUGAACUGCUUUCAAAACUGGUCGUCUUGAGUAGUGCAGAGGUAGGCGGAAUUCCCGGUGUAGCGGUGGAAUGCGUAGAUAUCGGGAGGAACACCAGUGGCGAAGGCGGCCUACUGGGCACCAACUGACGCUGAGGCUCGAAAGUGUGGGUAGCAAAACAGGAUUAGAUACCCUGGUAGUCCACACCGUAAACGAUGAUUACUAGGUGUUGGGAGAUUGACCCUCUCAGUGCCGCAGUUAACACAAUAAGUAAUCCGCCUGGGGAGUACGACCGCAAGGUUGAAACUCAAAGGAAUUGACGGGGGCCCGCACAAGCAGUGGAGUAUGUGGUUUAAUUCGACGCAACGCGAAGAACCUUACCAAGUCUUGACAUCCCUUGACGAUGCUGGAAACAGUAUUUCUCUUCGGAGCAAGGAGACAGGUGGUGCAUGGUUGUCGUCAGCUCGUGUCGUGAGAUGUUGGGUUAAGUCCCGCAACGAGCGCAACCCUUAUGGUCAGUUACUACGCAAGAGGACUCUGGCCAGACUGCCGUUGACAAAACGGAGGAAGGUGGGGAUGACGUCAAAUCAUCAUGCCCUUUAUGACUUGGGCUACACACGUACUACAAUGGCGUUAAACAAAGAGAAGCAAGACCGCGAGGUGGAGCAAAACUCAGAAACAACGUCCCAGUUCGGACUGCAGGCUGCAACUCGCCUGCACGAAGUCGGAAUUGCUAGUAAUCGCAGAUCAGCAUGCUGCGGUGAAUACGUUCCCGGGCCUUGCACACACCGCCCGUCA